Quercus lobata is the source of this 1151-nucleotide long non-coding RNA. RefSeq lists it as uncharacterized. Lineage: Eukaryota; Viridiplantae; Streptophyta; Magnoliopsida; Fagales; Fagaceae. The transcript has 3 exons. The record is from RefSeq and is a predicted model, not a curated record.
AUUUUAUGUUUGUUUUCAUCUAAAAAAUGUGUUUUUUAAUGGUGAUAACAGAGGUGGGUAACAGAAAUUAAACGGAAGUAACCUCAAAUGGGGUGUAAAGUUUUAAACCACGGAUAAGUAAAGUGAAAAUGGACCAAAUCUCAGGUGGGUUUACUGUAAUUAUCCCUUUAAAUUUUUAUGGUGUCGUUAUAGGUUCUCACUAAUUGACUAGAAGACAAAGAAAUAAUUGAGACAUGCGUAUACACAGGCAAUUAUACAGUGUCCGGAUAUCAAAUGAGCUAGGAAGAGGGAGUUCAAAAGCUGCAAAGUUCUCAAUUGUGAUAACAGUACUCACAUCAUUUGCCAUUGGAUUCGUUCUUUUCUUGUUUUUCCUAUUCUUCGGAGGACGUCUUGCUUACAUAUUCACCGAAAGUCAGGAGGUGGCUAAAGCAGUUGCAAACUUGUCACCAUUGUUGGCUGUCUCUAUACUAUUGAACAGUAUUCAACCUGUACUCUCUGGAGUUGCUGUUGGAGCUGGCUGGCAAAGCAUUGUAGCAUAUGUCAACAUAGCCUGCUAUUACCUAAUAGGGGUUCCUGUUGGACCGUUGGUGUUGUGCUUGCUUAUGUUUAUAACAUGGAAGUCAUAUCUCUAUCCCCUUUCCCAUGUUAUAUUCUUAUGUUUAGAUUUUGUGUUUUCUAACUAUUAAAAAUUGAUAUAAUUAUAAUUUUAUAAAUUCGCAUAAUGACAAAAUCUUAAAAUUGACAAAGAUAAUUUAGAUAUUGAGCUAACUGCAUUCUUUCUUAUAAAUGUAAUUAUUCAACUACCUCUAAAAAAAUGAUCUGUAAUGGAUAUAUGUAUAGCUGCAAAAUUUUACUUGUUUUUCUCAACCCCUUUUUUCGGUAUCAUCUUGUAGGGUAUUUGGAUUGGAAUGUUAUUCGGAACAUUUGUUCAAACUAUUGUGCUUACCUUUAUCACCUACAAAACCGAUUGGGAUGAACAGGUAAUUUUAGCUCGUAAUUGUGUUAAAAAGUGGGUUGUGAAAGAUUCAGAAGAACCAAAUCUUUCCACAUCAAAUGCCUAACCUCAUGCCGCAUUUCUUAUCUUAUGUACCUUUAAUUUAAAAUGCUGGAUUAAUUUAUGAGGCUAUUAAUUAUCAUUUAUGCUUAUAAUA